Molecule: ribosomal RNA, 465 nt
Filed under: uncultured Klebsiella sp.
Lineage: Bacteria; Pseudomonadati; Pseudomonadota; Gammaproteobacteria; Enterobacterales; Enterobacteriaceae
Description: bacterial SSU rRNA
Rfam family: Bacterial small subunit ribosomal RNA
Source: RNAcentral
CCUACGGGUGGCAGCAGUGGGGAAUAUUGCACAAUGGGCGCAAGCCUGAUGCAGCCAUGCCGCGUGUGUGAAGAAGGCCUUCGGGUUGUAAAGCACUUUCAGCGGGGAGGAAGGCGGCGAGGUUAAUAACCUCAUCGAUUGACGUUACCCGCAGAAGAAGCACCGGCUAACUCCGUGCCAGCAGCCGCGGUAAUACGGAGGGUGCAAGCGUUAAUCGGAAUUACUGGGCGUAAAGCGCACGCAGGCGGUCUGUCAAGUCGGAUGUGAAAUCCCCGGGCUCAACCUGGGAACUGCAUUCGAAACUGGCAGGCUAGAGUCUUAUAGAGGGGGGUAGAAUUCCAGGUGUAGCGGUGAAAUGCGUAGAGAUCUGGAGGAAUACCGGUGGCGAAGGCGGCCCCCUGGACAAAGACUGACGCUCAGGUGCGAAAGCGUGGGGAGCAAACAGGAUUAGAUACCCUUGUAGUC